This 292-nucleotide ribosomal RNA is filed under the name uncultured bacterium. RNAcentral's name for it is "partial 16S ribosomal RNA". It matches the Rfam family "Bacterial small subunit ribosomal RNA", at positions 505 to 796 of the family's 1533-position model. The record is from RNAcentral.
GUGCCAGCAGCCGCGGUAAUACGUAGGUGGCAAGCGUUGUCCGGAUUUACUGGGCGUAAAGAGCGCGCAGGCGGUCUUGUAAGUCGAAUGUGAAAGCCCCUGGCUCAACCGGGGAGGGUCAUUCGAUACUGCUUGACUCGAAGGCAGGAGAGGGAAGCGGAAUUCCGGGUGUAGUGGUGAAAUGCGUAGAUAUCCGGAGGAACACCAGUGGCGAAGGCGGCUUUCUGGCCUGUUCUUGACGCUGAGGCGCGAAAGCUAGGGGAGCAAACGGGAUUAGAAACCCCUGUAGUCC